UCAUGCACUCGACUAGUCUGACAGAAGCCACGUAGAAAGUUGCAGAGAUUUGAAUCUUUCUGAAAAUCUCCCUAAUAGCUUUGCCCUUUCCCAACUUUUCAGGUGCUGAGGGGAAGCUGGCAGCAAGGACUUCGUAAGUGUUUUUGUUUUAUAUUUCCACCCUCACUUGAGUGUGAUGCCCAUUAACACCACUUUUGUUCCUGCAGCACGGUUCCACAGAUGAGUGGAAUUCCCAAGGAAGAACUACCAGCACAAGUUUCCGGGGCCGAGGAAGACCGGCUGCCCAUUCCAGAAGAGCAGGCAGCGCCGGAUGAGCCAGAGCAGGUUCCUGCGGCAAACAUGUAGGCAGCUAUGGGAGCCCAUCAGUUCCAGUUUUCGGCAUUCGGCAGCUGGUGCAUCUCAGCCAGGAUCGGCUGUACGACCCAGUCGUCAUCGAAGUCAACCAGCAAGAAGAGGGCACCCCGCCAAUCGGUCGACAGCCCAGCUCCUGAGCAACCACCAUUUAAGCAGCCCUGCGAACAGCACCACUGCUGUGUCAACAUUUCUUUUUUUGUUUUUAAAUUUUAUUUAAUAAUACCUCAAAUACCCCAGGUAUGGGGUCUUACAUGAGGCAUGGGCAAUUAUUUAAUUGAGACAACAUUGUCUUUGCACGUGUACUGACAGGGCAGCCCUGUCCCCUCUUGACACAUUUGGUGACAAACCAAUAUCUUCAGAUAUUUUGUGUUACUAUUUCCUGCAUCAACUAAAAGGGAAACGCAAAGCCAUCUCUGUAUUUCUGUUGUUUUAUUGUUUGUUCGCUUUUUUGUUUUUUCCUGUGGUCACCUGAUAAGCCUUAUUUAUUUAUUCAUUCAUUUUUUUUAAAUGCUUAGUGGCCUCGUAAGUUGAACGAAGCAUUAGGUGGGUGCAUAAUAAAUAGAAAUAAAUGGAAAUAGAGCAGCAUUCACAUAAGCAACAUAAUUGAACACCAUUAGAAAAUAGCCCACAGAAAAAAAGAACCGCUAGACAUAGGAGACAAAAGAUAACAAAAACCAGAAACACAAGAAUAGGACAGAAAAAGCAUGAAUACAAGGAAACAGCAUAGUACUAAUGUGUGAAAGUCAAAAAGAAAGACAUAACUGUGUUGUUUCACGCUGCCAUGCAGAGAAAUUCUGAGAAUGUGAGCUGGUUUGUUUAAGCUCGUAUUUACUUCGAACUUAAUGCUACAUGGCCUAGCCAAUGAUGCAACGUUCGUCAAACUGUGUUCCCUGUUACCUGUGAGGAAAUGCUUCAUUAAGGAGGAACUGUAACCAUCUGGGUGGGCAAAUGCUAAAGUGCCCAGUAGAUUUGUGCACGGCACAAGAGCUGUGCACAGCACAAGCUUGUUCCUGUCUGCACUCCAGAUAUUUCUUAUGGUUCUUUCAUUUCAGAGUGGCUAUCUGUUCCUUCAUCGCAUUCUUGUUCAUGAAAAUAGCCAGUCUGUUUUGUCAUAGCAAUAGUGACACCAGAUAUGUCCUCAUCAUAUUAUUUCCUUGAUAGUUCUCAGUGGACAAAUCUCCUUGACGGGCUUGAAAACUGUCUUGUUGUUUAUUCACAUUGUUCGUUUUCUUUCUUUUCCAUAAUGUUCUUUAGACUUGUUCGGUCCUUUUUAUUUGAACUUGCUUGUUAUAACUACCUGUGAUAUUACACACUGGAGCUACUCAUGUGGACUUGCCUCAACAUGGGACCCACCUGCCAUAUUUGCAGAGCUUCAAGCCAUGAAACUUUCUUUUAUUUUUAUUUUAUUUAAUAAAGAAAUACUA
RNA transcript from Dermacentor silvarum, 1778 nucleotides. RefSeq lists it as uncharacterized. The record is from RefSeq and is a predicted model, not a curated record. NCBI's taxonomy places the organism in Eukaryota, Metazoa, Arthropoda, Arachnida, Ixodida, Ixodidae. The transcript is spliced from 3 exons.